GGAAUUUUGGGCAAUGGGCGAAAGCCUGACCCAGCAACGCCGCGUGAAGGAUGAAAUCCCUCGGGGAUGUAAACUUCGCAAGAUUGGGGAAGAAUUAGUAGGGGUUAAUACCCCCUAUGAUGACGGUACCUUUUGUAAGCUCCGGCUAACUCCGUGCCAGCAGCCGCGGUAAUACGGGGGGAGCAAGCGUUGUUCGGAUUUACUGGGCGUAAAGGGCGCGUAGGCGGUCAGCACAAGUCAGUUGUGAAAUCUCCGGGCUUAACUCGGAAAGGUCAACUGAUACUGUGCGACUAGAGUGCAGAAGGGGCAACUGGAAUUCUCGGUGUAGCGGUGAAAUGCGUAGAUAUCGAGAGGAACACCUGCGGCGAAGGCGGGUUGCUGGGCUGACACUGACGCUGAGGCGCGAAAGCCAGGGGAGCGAACGGGAUUAGAUACCCCGGUAGUCCUGGCCUUAAACGAUGGAUGCUUGGUGUCUGGAGUUAUAUAGUCUCCGGGUGCCGCAGCUAACGCGUUAAGCAUCCCGCCUGGGGAGUACGGUCGCAAGACUGAAACUCAAAGGAAUUGACGGGGACCCGCACAAGCGGUGGAGCAUGUGGUUCAAUUCGACGCAACGCGAAGAACCUUACCUGGGCUAGAAUGCCUCUGACAACUCCAGAGAUGGAGCCUCCUAGGGAAACCUAGGCAGAGUGCAAGGUGCUGCAUGGCUUC
Molecule: ribosomal RNA, 708 nt
Filed under: uncultured Acidobacteriaceae bacterium
Lineage: Bacteria; Pseudomonadati; Acidobacteriota; Terriglobia; Terriglobales; Acidobacteriaceae
Description: bacterial SSU rRNA
Rfam family: Bacterial small subunit ribosomal RNA
Source: RNAcentral